UGAUUGAACGCUGUCCAAGUACUUGACACAUGCUAAUCGAACGACUAAUUAGUUUUAAUAAACUAAGUAGUAGUGGUGUACAGGUGAGUAAAAGAUAAUUUGGCUACCUUAAAGUAAGGGGAAAAUCCCUUAUAAACGAAAGGAAAAUAAAAGUCCGCUUUAAGAUGUUAAUCUUUAUCUCGGGGAGUAGUAGGAAAGGUAAUGACUUUUCUAGCUAAAAUCCGUAGUCGUGACUGAGAGGUCGAUCGACCACAUUGGGUCUGAAAAAACCCCAAUGCGUAUUAGUACAGCAGUGAGGAAUAUUGGUCAAUGGCCGAAAGGCUGAACCAGUAACUUGGAAGAAUGUAAGUGUAUUAUUGUAAUACAAUAACGAUUAACUCGUAUAAAAUUCUAAAUAGGAUAAUGAUAAUGACAAUUUCCUAUUUAUAAGUCUUGACCAAAUUACGUGCCAGCAGUCGCGGUAAUACGUAGAAGACUAGUGUUAGUCA
Molecule: ribosomal RNA, 488 nt
Filed under: Aspergillus flavus
Lineage: Eukaryota; Fungi; Ascomycota; Eurotiomycetes; Eurotiales; Aspergillaceae
Also listed under: 1 other name
Description: SSU rRNA
Rfam family: Bacterial small subunit ribosomal RNA
Source: RNAcentral